GGAGGGAUUUUAUAAUGGUUUUGUUAUGGUUAAGGUGUUGUUAUUUAUUUUUAAUUCAAUGGUGGACAAUUUAUUAUCCUGUUUUUUUUCAUUUGUAGUAUUAUUGUACCAGAAUAAUCGGAUAGACUUUAUAAAUUAGUACUUUGGUUGUUGUGAACAAUGAUUUUUUUGUUAAGAAAGAAGAAGAAAAAGAGUUUGUUUAUGUCUUUUUUGUGAAAUAUUGAGGUUUUUGUGUUUUUGGUUUUUGUUCUAAGUGGGUUUGAUGAACUGGAGUAGUACCCAGGUAAUUCUUUUUUAGUAGAGCAGGAGUAUAAUGAUGUUGAAACUGAAAUUACUUUGGGAGGUUUUAAAUUUAUUUUUGGAGGUUGACGAGUAAUUGAGAGCCCUUAUUUUUAUCCAGUGUUAUUGUGGUAUGUAUGAUCGUUUGUCUAGUUGUUGAGCAUUUUAGGUUAUAAAUUGUUUUUUGUGAUGAUAGAUAAAUAUAUACUAUAUAUACUGGUUUUUAGUUGACCUACAUUAUUUUAUGGUGUGGAUUCUUGUGGUAGAUCAUGAGAUGAGAAUGGAAAAUACAGUAAGUUGGUUUUUAUGUCUGGCUGAAGAUUAAUUUUAGAACGGCACAAAUCAUCCAUCAAUUGCUUAAAGAGUAAUAAGUUGUAGUAGAGUUAAGGUAGGGGAACCUGUUCUUAGUAAUUUAUAAGGAGGAAGAAAGGAGAA
Molecule: non-coding RNA, 714 nt
Filed under: Passalurus ambiguus
Lineage: Eukaryota; Metazoa; Nematoda; Chromadorea; Rhabditida; Oxyuridae
Source: RNAcentral